RNAcentral lists this ribosomal RNA (332 nucleotides) under uncultured bacterium. RNAcentral's name for it is "bacterial SSU rRNA". It matches the Rfam family "Bacterial small subunit ribosomal RNA", at positions 568 to 899 of the family's 1533-position model. The record is from RNAcentral.
UGUGUAGGCGGUUGUUUAAGUUUGGUGUGAAAUCUCCCGGCUCAACUGGGAGGGUGCGCCGAAUACUGAAUGACUCGAGUGCGGGAGAGGAGAGUGGAAUUCCUGGUGUAGCGGUGAAAUGCGUAGAUAUCAGGAGGAACACCGGUGGUGUAGACGGCUCUCUGGACCGUAACUGACGCUGAGACACGAAAGCGUGGGUAGCAAACAGGAUUAGAUACCCUGGUAGUCCACGCCCUAAACGAUGCAUAUUUGGUGUGGGCCGUUCAGUCGGUCCGUGCCGGAGCUAACGCGUUAAAUAUGCCGCCUGGGGAGUACAGUCGCAAGGCUAGAAA